GAUGAACGCUGGCGGCGUGCCUAAUACAUGCAAGUCGAGCGAACGGACGAGAAGCUUGCUUCUCUGAUGUUAGCGGCGGACGGGUGAGUAACACGUAGAUAACCUACCUAUAAGACUGGGAUAACUUCGGGAAACCGGAGCUAAUACCGGAUAAUAUUUUGAACCGCAUGGUUCAAAAGUGAAAGACGGUCUUGCUGUCACUUAUAGAUGGAUCCGCGCUGCAUUAGCUAGUUGGUAAGGUAACGGCUUACCAAGGCAACGAUGCAUAGCCGACCUGAGAGGGUGAUCGGCCACACUGGAACUGAGACACGGUCCAGACUCCUACGGGAGGCAGCAGUAGGGAAUCUUCCGCAAUGGGCGAAAGCCUGACGGAGCAACGCCGCGUGAGUGAUGAAGGUCUUCGGAUCGUAAAACUCUGUUAUUAGGGAAGAACAUAUGUGUAAGUAACUGUGCACAUCUUGACGGUACCUAAUCAGAAAGCCACGGCUAACUACGUGCCAGCAGCCGCGGGUAUACGCAGGUGGCAAGCGUUUAUCGGAAAUAUUGGGCGUAAAGCGCGCGUAGGCGGUUUUUUAGUCUGAUGUGAAAGCCCACGGCUCAACCGUGGAGGGUCAUUGGAAACUGGAAAACUUGAGUGCAGAAGAGGAAAGUGGAAUUCCAUGUGUAGCGGUGAAAUGCGCAGAGAUAUGGAGGAACACCAGUGGCGAAGGCGACUUUCUGGUCUGUAACUGACGCUGAUGUGCGAAAGCGUGGGGAUCAAACAGGAUUAGAUACCCUGGUAGUCCACGCCGUAAACGAUGAGUGCUAAGUGUUAGGGGGUUUCCGCCCCUUAGUGCUGCAGCUAACGCAUUAAGCACUCCGCCUGGGGAGUACGACCGCAAGGUUGAAACUCAAAGGAAUUGACGGGGACCCGCACAAGCGGUGGAGCAUGUGGUUUAAUUCGAAGCAACGCGAAGAACCUUACCAAAUCUUGACAUCCUUUGACAACUCUAGAGAUAGAGCCUUCCCCUUCGGGGGACAAAGUGACAGGUGGUGCAUGGUUGUCGUCAGCUCGUGUCGUGAGAUGUUGGGUUAAGUUCCGCAACGAGCGCAACCCUUAAGCUUAGUUGCCAUCAUUAAGUUGGGCACUCUAAGUUGACUGCCGGUGACAAACCGGAGGAAGGUGGGGAUGACGUCAAAUCAUCAUGCCCCUUAUGAUUUGGGCUACACACGUGCUACAAUGGACAAUACAAAGGGCAGCGAAACCGCGAGGUCAAGCAAAUCCCAUAAAGUUGUUCUCAGUUCGGAUUGUAGUCUGCAACUCGACUACAUGAAGCUGGAAUCGCUAGUAAUCGUAGAUCAGCAUGCUACGGUGAAUACGUUCCCGGGUCU
RNAcentral lists this ribosomal RNA (1371 nucleotides) under uncultured bacterium. RNAcentral describes it as "16S ribosomal RNA". It matches the Rfam family "Bacterial small subunit ribosomal RNA", at positions 27 to 1381 of the family's 1533-position model. The record is from RNAcentral.